The sequence is an unclassified non-coding RNA, 188 nucleotides long. The stretch from base 1 to 46 matches the Rfam family "Eukaryotic small subunit ribosomal RNA", at positions 1786 to 1831 of the family's 1831-position model.
AAGUCGUAACAAGGUUUCCGUAGGUGAACCUGCGGAAGGAUCAUUAUAAAAUUUUCAUAUAUUAUUUUUAAUAUAUAAAAUUAUACAAAAAUGUAUUCAAAACCCACACUCUUUAUAACCAUAAAAAAACAUUAUAUCUUGUAUAUAAUAUAAAAAAACAACUUUCAACAACGGAUCUCUUGGCUCUC